UACGUAGGGUCCGAGCGUUGUCCGGAAUUAUUGGGCGUAAAGAGCUCGUAGGCGGUCUGUCGCGUCGGAUGUGAAAACCCAGGGCUCAACCCUGGGCCUGCAUUCGAUACGGGCAGACUAGAGUUCGGUAGGGGAGACUGGAAUUCCUGGUGUAGCGGUGGAAUGCGCAGAUAUCAGGAGGAACACCGGUGGCGAAGGCGGGUCUCUGGGCAGUAACUGACGCUGAGGAGCGAAAGCGUGGGGAGCGAACAGG
RNAcentral lists this ribosomal RNA (253 nucleotides) under uncultured bacterium. Its description in RNAcentral is "partial 16S ribosomal RNA". It matches the Rfam family "Bacterial small subunit ribosomal RNA", at positions 524 to 776 of the family's 1533-position model. The record is from RNAcentral.